AAGGCCAUCCUUGCAGGGAUCAUUUCUGUAGCUGUUUACUAGAAAAGCUCUGCUGACUGUGUCACGCACCAAGGACCAUGAUGAGGAGCCACCGCACUCUCCCGAGUGUGAAGCUGGCUGUAGGUGUUGAUUUUUGCAACUGCUUUUUGCCAUUGAUGAUGGUUCUUCUUUCCCGCUGGGAGAAUAAGAGAGAGAGUGUGGGUUCUGAGUGG
Molecule: small nucleolar RNA, 212 nt
Filed under: Erinaceus europaeus (western European hedgehog)
Lineage: Eukaryota; Metazoa; Chordata; Mammalia; Eulipotyphla; Erinaceidae
Description: Small nucleolar RNA U3 (ENSEEUG00000018877.1)
Rfam family: Small nucleolar RNA U3
About the family: Small nucleolar RNAs (snoRNAs) are involved in the processing and modification of rRNA in the nucleolus.
Source: RNAcentral